UACGAACCGGACAAACGUUAUUCGGAAUCAUUGGGCUUAAAGGGUGCGUAGGCGGUGCUGUAAGUCGGGUGUGAAAUCCCUCGGCUCAACCGAGGAAUUGCGCCCGAUACUGCUGUGCUCGAGGGAGACAGAGGUGAGCGGAACUGAUGGUGGAGCGGUGAAAUGCGUUGAUAUCAUCAGGAACACCGGUGGCGAAAGCGGCUCACUGGGUCUCUUCUGACGCUGAGGCACGAAAGCUAGGGUAGCGAACAGG
This 253-nucleotide unclassified non-coding RNA is filed under the name uncultured Pirellulaceae bacterium. Its description in RNAcentral is "contains 16S-23S intergenic spacer region". It matches the Rfam family "Bacterial small subunit ribosomal RNA", at positions 524 to 776 of the family's 1533-position model. Lineage: Bacteria; Pseudomonadati; Planctomycetota; Planctomycetia; Pirellulales; Pirellulaceae. The record is from RNAcentral.